UGGGGAAUAUUGCGCAAUGGGCGGAAGCCUGACGCAGCGACGCCGCGUGGGGGAUGACGGCCUUCGGGUUGUAAACCUCUUUCAGCGGGGACGAAGCCUUUCGGGGUGACGGUACCUGCAGAAGAAGCGCCGGCUAACUACGUGCCAGCAGCCGCGGUAAUACGUAGGGCGCGAGCGUUGUCCGGAAUUAUUGGGCGUAAAGAGCUCGUAGGCGGUUUGUCGCGUCGGAUGUGAAGGCCCACGGCUUAACUGUGGGUCUGCAUUCGAUACGGGCAGACUAGAGGCAGGUAGGGGAGCAUGGAAUUCCCGGUGUAGCGGUGAAAUGCGCAGAUAUCGGGAGGAACACCGGUGGCGAAGGCGGUGCUCUGGGCCUUGCCUGACGCUGAGGAGCGAAAGCGUGGGGAGCGAAC
This 410-nucleotide ribosomal RNA is filed under the name uncultured bacterium. RNAcentral's name for it is "bacterial SSU rRNA". It matches the Rfam family "Bacterial small subunit ribosomal RNA", at positions 355 to 773 of the family's 1533-position model. The record is from RNAcentral.